GGCAAUCACAUUAUCUCAGGGACUUGCGCAUCAUGGCGUGGCAAGAGUCUCCGAGUGCAGAAGAUCAGACCGUCCAUUCUGGGCUGCAACAUCCUCAGAGUUGAAUACUCCUUGCUGGUGAGUGAGGAGGGAAGAGAAAUAGUUGCUUGGGUGCAAAGUCAGUGCCUCCUCUAACACAACCCAUCUAACAAACUCCCACCUUCCUUCCUAGAUCUAUGUUAGUGUCCCUGGCUCCAAGAAAGUCAUCCUCGAUCUGCCCCUAGUGAUUGGCAGCAGGUCGGGCCUAAGCAGCCGGACAUCCAGCAUGGCUAGCCGGACAAGCUCUGAAAUGAGCUGGAUAGACCUAAACAUCCCAGACACCCCAGAAGCUCCACCUUGCUAUAUGGACGUGAUUCCUGAAGAUCACAG
RNAcentral lists this long non-coding RNA (408 nucleotides) under Rattus norvegicus (Norway rat). Its description in RNAcentral is "long non-coding RNA NONRATT015591". Lineage: Eukaryota; Metazoa; Chordata; Mammalia; Rodentia; Muridae. The record is from RNAcentral.